AGUAAAUAAUAUAAGAGCAUUUGGUGGAUGCCUUGGCGCUAGAAGGCGAUGAAGGACGUAAUACACUGCGAUAAGCUCCGGGGAGCUGUGAAUAGGCUUUGAUCCGGAGAUUUCCGAAUGGGAAAACCCACCUGAUUUAUCAGGUAUCAUAUGGUGAAUACAUAGCCAUAUGAGGCAAACUCAGUGAACUGAAAUAUCUCAUUAGCUGAAGGAAAGGACAUCAACAGAGACUCCGUUAGUAGUGACGAGCGAACGCGGACCAGGCAAGUGGCUUUUAAAAGUAAACUAGAACAGUAUGGAAAGACUGGCAACAAUAGGUGAUAGCCCUGUAUAGGUAAAGCUUUUUUAAGUCCUAGAGUAAGGCGGGACACGUGAAAUCCUGUUUGAAUAUGGGGGGACCACCCUCCAAGCCUAAGUACUCUCUAGCGACCGAUAGUGAACAAGUACCGUGAGGGAAAGGUGAAAAGAACCCCGACGAGGGAAGUGAAAUAGACACUGAAACCGAAUGCUUACAAGCAGUCGGAGCGGAAUUUAUUCCGUGACGGCGUACCUUUUGUAUAAUGGGUCAGCGACUUAGUUUGUCGAGCGAGCUUAAGCCGUUAGGUGUAGGCGUAGCGAAAGCGAGUCUUAAAUAGGGCGAUAUAGUUCGACGAAUUAGACCCGAAACCGGGUGAUCUAGCCAUGGCCAGAUUGAAGGUGGAGUAACAUCUACUGAAGGAUCGAACCCACUAAUGUUGAAAAAUUAGGGGAUGAGCUGUGGCUAGGGGUGAAAGGCCAAUCAAACUCGGAGAUAGCUGGUUCUCCGCGAAAUCUAUUUAGGUAGAGCGUUAUAUAAUUACCACUGGAGGUAGAGCACUGGAUAAGCUAGGGGGUCCAACAGACUUACCAAACUUAACCAAACUCCGAAUGCCAGUGAG
RNAcentral lists this ribosomal RNA (917 nucleotides) under Rickettsiales bacterium. RNAcentral's name for it is "partial 23S ribosomal RNA". It matches the Rfam family "Bacterial large subunit ribosomal RNA", at positions 1 to 970 of the family's 2925-position model. The record is from RNAcentral. Lineage: Bacteria; Pseudomonadati; Pseudomonadota; Alphaproteobacteria; Rickettsiales.